RNAcentral lists this long non-coding RNA (1286 nucleotides) under Fukomys damarensis (Damara mole-rat). RNAcentral describes it as "lncRNA (ENSFDAG00000032744.1)". Lineage: Eukaryota; Metazoa; Chordata; Mammalia; Rodentia; Bathyergidae. The record is from RNAcentral.
CACGGUGGUUCGUCACCUAGGGGACCUGCUGGGGACAGCUGAGGACAGCCAGAGACACAGGGACUGAUUGCUGCUCACUGAGUUCCCCCUGAGCAACCACCACCUCCAAGCCUUGCAGGGAUGAAGGGGCUGCACCCCACGCUACUCCCUCUGGUGGCUCCCUGCCCAGAGGAUGCUCCUGGCCUGGCUCUCCCUGCUCCCACUCAGCUCCGCUCUGCCGUCUGCCCAUGAAGACCUGCCUCCGGGUCUCCAUGCCCAGGGCGAGCCUCUCUCUCUGUGGCAUCCCUGAUGGAGUCCAGCUCCAAGCUCCCCAGGGAGCCGGAUUAUUGAACCUUCGAACCCCAGUGGACUUGCUACAGAAGACAGGAGAGUGUGUCUCCGAAAUCCAGCUCCAGCCUCAGGCUGCCCUUCUCCCCAGCCUCACAGCGGGGCCCUGGGCUCCUGAUCUCACGCAGAUCAGAUCGGGGCCCUGUUGUCUUUGUUUCCAGCAGCAGGAAGAGACAAGGGCCAAAAGCCAAGGAGUGCCUGCGGUUGGAUUUGUCCCUGACAAGUUGUGCGAGAGUCCAUUUUACUCUGCCUGUAGCACAGUGCCACAGACUGCCCCACCUCAGGAGACACCCAAACCGGGUCCAAGCCACAGCCUCUGCCGUGACAAAGUAAGACAGACAGGUGGUGUGAACAGCAAGGAUUUGUCUGAAAGGAUGGUGUCACCCACUUGGUUUGAUCCCAGGCCUCUCUCCUGGGCCUGCAUCUUCUCCGUGCCCUCACAGGGCCAUGCCCCCCAAUCUUCUGGGGGCUCCAGCCACCUUGAAUCGGGCCCCCCUCCAAAGACCCAUCUUCGAGGACAGACACGCUGUGGGUCCCGGGCAGCCGUCGGGUCUUUGCAGGCGGUGAUGCUCCCAGCGGGGCAAAGCCAGAGUGGGAGAGGAGACAGGGGCCUGGUGCGGUCUGAGCUGGCGCAGGCAGGGGAGCCGACUGUUCUGGCAGAGCCCUUGCCGGGCACCACCCCCAGGUGCCUGCCCGCUGCCCCCUUGGUGCUGGCCAGGGCCAGGCGGAGUAGAGAAACCACAGCUGGCCUCUGCUGUGCCUGUUUCUCCACCUGCCAUUCAGGGAGGGCCCUGAGGAGCUGUGAGCUGGAAGGGUCUGAGCCCAGGAGGCCCUGUGACCUCUGGACCCCAGCCACACACGCGGGGGACACCUUUCUCAGGACCAGGGUGCCCCUCACCUGGGGCAGCAGAGAAAAACAUAGGCCCUGGGUCCAGUCUCAGACCAGCCAGGGCUCCUAG